RNAcentral lists this ribosomal RNA (421 nucleotides) under uncultured bacterium. RNAcentral describes it as "partial 16S ribosomal RNA". It matches the Rfam family "Bacterial small subunit ribosomal RNA", at positions 360 to 774 of the family's 1533-position model. The record is from RNAcentral.
AAUUGUCGGCAAUGGGGGCAACCCUGACCGCGCGACGCCGCGUGGGUGAAGAAGGUCUUCGGAUCGUAAACCUCUGUUGUAAGGGAAGAACCGUACCAGUGCGGACUGCCUGGUACCUUACGGUACCUUCCCAGCAAGGCACGGCCAAAUUCCUUCCCGCCGCCGGGGGAAUACGUAGGUGGCAAGCGUUAUCCGGAAUUUUGGGGCGGAAAGGCAGGGAAGGCGGCUUAUUAGUUCUGAGGUUAAAGUUCGGGGUUCAACCGGGUGAUGCCUUAGAAACUGGUAGGCUAGAGUGCAGGAGAGGGGAGUGGAAUUCCAGGUGUAGCGGUAAAAUGCGUAGAUAUAUGGAGGAACACCAGUGGCGAAGGCGGCUCACUGGACUGUAACUGACGCUGAGGCUCGAAAGCGAGGGGAGCAAACA